UGAAUACGAGAUGCUACGGCGUCGAAGCAGUCUAUGUCAUACUUCCAAGAAAAGCUCGCACUGUCAUAAACAAAUAAUGCCUGUACCAUAACCGACACAGGUGGGUAGGUAGAGUAUACUAAGGGGCGCGAGAUAACUCUCUCUAAGGAACUCGGCAAAAUGACUCCGUAACUUCGGGAGAAGGAGUGCCUUAUUUAUAAGGUUGCAAUAACAAGAUCCAAGCAACUGUUUAUCAAAAACACAGGUCUCCGCUAAGUCGUAAGACGAUGUAUGGGGGCUGACGCCUGCCCAGUGCCAGAAGGUUAAAGAAGUUGGUUAGCAUUCGCGAAGCUGAUAACUGAAGCCCUGGUGAACGGCGGCCGUAACUAUAACGGUCCUAAGGUAGCGAAAUUCCUUGUCGGGUAAGUUCCGACCCGCACGAAAGGCGUAAUGAUUUGGAUACUGUCUCGGAGAGGGGCUCGGUGAGAUAGACUUGUCUGUGAAGAUGCGGACUACCUGCACCAGGACAGAAAGACCCUAUGAAGCUUUACUGUAACUUGAGAUUGAAAUUGGACUUUACUUGCGCAGUAUAGGUGGGAGGCGUUGAUAAUAUUCUUGCGGGAUUAUUUGAGCCAUCAGUGAGAUACCACUCUUGUAAUGUUAGAUUUCUAACUUUGUAUCAUUAUCUGGUCAAAGGACAGUUUCAGGCGGGCAGUUUGACUGGGGCGGUCGCCUCCUAAACGGUAACGGAGGCGCACAAAGGUUUCCUCUGAACGGGUAGAAAUCGUAUCUAGAGUGUAAAGGCAUAAGGAAGCUUGACUGUGAGACCUACAAGUCGAGCAGGGACGAAAGUCGGUCUUAGUGAUCUGGCGGUGCUGAGUGGAAAGGCCGUCACUCAACGGAUAAAAGUUACUCUAAGGAUAACAGGCUGAUCUCCCCCAAGAGUUCACAUCGACGGGGAGGUUUGGCACCUUGAUGUCGGCUCAUCGCAUCCUGGGGCGGUAGUACGUCCCAAGGGUUGGGCUGUUCGCCCAUGAAAGCGGUACGCGAGCUGGGUUCAGAACGUCGUGAGACAGUUCGGUCCAUAUCCGGUGUAGGCGUUAGAAUAUUGAGAGGAGCCUUCUUUAGUACGAGAGGACCGAGAAGGACAUACCUCUGGUGUACCAGUUAUCGUGCCAACGGUAAACGCUGGGUAGCUAUGUAUGGAGUGGAUAACCGCUGAAAGCAUCUAAGUGGGAAGCCCACCUCAAGAUAAGUAUUCCC
Molecule: ribosomal RNA, 1242 nt
Filed under: metagenome
Description: bacterial LSU rRNA
Rfam family: Bacterial large subunit ribosomal RNA
Source: RNAcentral